GGGGCCGUAGCUCAGUUGGCCAGAGCGCCUGCCUUGCACGCAGGAGGCCCGGGGUUCGACUCCCCGCGGCUCCA
Molecule: transfer RNA, 74 nt
Filed under: Actinomadura rayongensis
Lineage: Bacteria; Bacillati; Actinomycetota; Actinomycetes; Streptosporangiales; Thermomonosporaceae
Description: tRNA-Ala
Rfam family: tRNA
About the family: Transfer RNA (tRNA) molecules are approximately 80 nucleotides in length.
Source: RNAcentral